Astatotilapia calliptera (eastern happy) is the source of this 539-nucleotide long non-coding RNA. NCBI's taxonomy places the organism in Eukaryota, Metazoa, Chordata, Actinopteri, Cichliformes, Cichlidae. The record is from Ensembl.
GAGGAGAUAGGGGAAAGAAGAAAGGAGGGACACCAGGGAAGGAAAAUUAGAGAAUGAGAAGAGGAAGAGGAGGAGAAAUGUGUUUUGAUAAAGGCUGCAGAGGAGGAAAAGUGGGUAGAAGACAAGGAGGAGGAGGGAGGAGAGUACAGAAACAGGAGCCAGAACCAAUUUCAGAUUUUAAACCAUCAGCAUUCAGGCUGCUCUUCACUCCUCAUUUAUUAUAUCGAAAUUUGCAGGACUUUCCAGUGGCCUGAAUACGUUGUGGUGCUUCGUGUCCUGUCAGAAGACAGAUUACUCUUGUCAGGACCACCAGCCGAGUAUUCUCCACCCAUCGCACUCACCAGUAGUGCUGUUUUUGGUCUCCAUCCUGUCCUCCCAUCUGCUCGGAGCCCGAGGAUUAUAUACUCCACUUCUCCUCAGCCUGCCCUUCAGUCUGUAUUCUCCAUCUCUUCGAAAUCUGGACCGGACUCUCCACUCUUGACCCUCUUUGGAAUAUACCCCUGGCAGCCUUUUCCCCGUUAAAUGACUAGGGUCGCCAA